This 494-nucleotide ribosomal RNA is filed under the name Mustela putorius (European polecat). Its description in RNAcentral is "partial 12S ribosomal RNA". Lineage: Eukaryota; Metazoa; Chordata; Mammalia; Carnivora; Mustelidae. The record is from RNAcentral.
CAAAGGUUUGGUCCUAGCCUUCCUAUUGAUUAUUAACAGAAUUACACAUGCAAGUCUCUACACCCCAGUGAGAAUGCCCUCCAAAUCUAUAUGUUGAUUAAAAGGAGCGGGUAUCAAGCACACUAAAUUAGUAGCUCAUAACGCCUUGCUCAACCACACCCCCACGGGAUACAGCAGUGAUAAAAAUUAAGCCAUAAACGAAAGUUUGACUAAGCCAUGUUAACAAAGAGCUGGUAAAUUUCGUGCCAGCCACCGCGGUCAUACGAUUAGCCCGAAUCAAUAGGCAAACGGCGUAAAACGUGUUAAGGAUUAUAUUAUACUAAAGUUAAAAUUUGACAAGGCUGUAAAAAGCUACUGUUAAUAUAAGAUAAACCACGAAAGUGACUUUAUUACUUCCAUCAACACGAUAGCUGAGACCCAAACUGGGAUUAGAUACCCCACUAUGCUCAGCCCUAAACAUAAAUAAUUAUUACAACAAAAUUAUCUGCCAGAGA